UCUGGAGUCCGCUUCCCGCGGCUCUGACUUGUGGAAAAAUACAGGAUACGGCGGGUCUUGCGACCCUCGUAUCCGCGAUUCAGAGAACAAUGACAAGGCUGGAAGCGCGAGACCGGUACUACGGUAUCGGUCAGACGCGAGAAGACAAGAGUAGAAACACAACAGAGUUUCACACGAGCAAACCAUAGGCGAAAGAACAUGUCGGACACAGAGUCUGAAGUUAAGGAAAAACGGAAUGACAAAGGGCGCAUGGGGGAUGCCUAGGCUCUCGGAGGCGAAGAAGGACGUGACAAGCUGCGAAAAGCUGCGGCGAGCGGCAAAUACGCUGAGACCCGCAGAUGUC
RNAcentral lists this unclassified non-coding RNA (343 nucleotides) under uncultured bacterium. RNAcentral describes it as "partial contains 16S ribosomal RNA, 16S-23S ribosomal RNA intergenic spacer, and 23S ribosomal RNA". The stretch from base 230 to 343 matches the Rfam family "Bacterial large subunit ribosomal RNA", at positions 1 to 114 of the family's 2925-position model. The record is from RNAcentral.